UGUACUACAAGCUAGCCUGAAACUCACUA
RNAcentral lists this non-coding RNA (29 nucleotides) under Rattus norvegicus (Norway rat). The record is from RNAcentral. Lineage: Eukaryota; Metazoa; Chordata; Mammalia; Rodentia; Muridae.